This 434-nucleotide ribosomal RNA is filed under the name uncultured bacterium. Its description in RNAcentral is "partial 16S ribosomal RNA". It matches the Rfam family "Bacterial small subunit ribosomal RNA", at positions 29 to 507 of the family's 1533-position model. The record is from RNAcentral.
AGCGAACGCUGGCGGCAGGCCUAACACAUGCAAGUCGAACGAACCUUUCGGGGUUAGUGGCGGAAGGGUGAGUAACACGUGAGAACGUGCCUUUAGGUUCGGAAUAACUCAGGGAAACUUGUUCUAAUACCGAAUGUGCCCUUCGGGGGAAAGAUUAAUCGCCUUUAGAGCGGCCCGCGUCUGAUUAGCUAGUUGGUUGAGGUAAUGGCUCACCAAGGCGACGAUCAGUAGCUGGUCUGAGAGGAUGAUCAGCCACAUUGGGACUGAGACACGGCCCAAACUCAUACGGGAGGCAGCAGUGGGGAAUCUUGCGCAAUGGGCGAAAGCCUGACGCAGCCAUGCCGCGUGAAUGAUGAAGGUCUUAGGAUUGUAAAAUUCUUUCACCGGGGACGAUAAUGACGGUACCCGGAGAAGAAGCCCCGGCUAACUUCGUG